This 1662-nucleotide ribosomal RNA is filed under the name human gut metagenome. RNAcentral's name for it is "bacterial LSU rRNA". It matches the Rfam family "Bacterial large subunit ribosomal RNA", at positions 830 to 2505 of the family's 2925-position model. The record is from RNAcentral.
CAAUCGAACCCGGAGAUAGCUGGUUCUCCCCGAAAUAGCUUUAGGGCUAGCGUCGGAAAGAACCUUAGUGAAGGUAGAGCACUGAAUGUGUGAUGGCCCCAUCCCGGGGUACUGAAUACAAUCAAACUGCGAAUGUCAUUAAGGAUGUCCGGCAGUCAGACUGUGAGUGAUAAGGUCCAUGGUCAAGAGGGAAACAGCCCAGACCGCCAGUUAAGGUCCCAAAAUACAGGCUAAGUGGAAAAGGAUGUGGGGAUGCCCAGACAACUAGGAGGUUGGCUCAGAAGCAGCCAUCCUUUAAAGAGUGCGUAACAGCUCACUAGUCGAGUGACCCUGCGCCGAAAAUGUACCGGGGCUAAGCCUGAUACCGAAACUGCGGAUUGUAGGAAACUAUAGUGGUAGGGGAGCGUUGUAUACGAGCAGAAGCCGUACCGUGAGGAGCGGUGGAUUGUAUAGAAGUGAGAAUGCCGGUGUGAGUAGCGAGAUGUAGGUGAGAAUCCUACACACCGAAAGCCCAAGGAUUCCAGGGGAAGGUUCGUCCGCCCUGGGUAAGUCGGGACCUAACGCGAGGCCGAAAGGCGUAGUGGAUGGAAAGCAGGCGAAAGAUUCCUGCACCCGUAUAUGGAGCGAAGGAGUGACGGAGACGGAUAGUGUGACCCUCUUAAUGGAUUGAGGGCGAAGCGAAGCGGCUGGUUACCAGGCAAAUCCGGUAACCAAAAGGCUAGAGCGUGACAGGUAAGCGAAAUCUUCGGAAAGUAGCGAAGCACAUGAUGACGGCUUCCAGGAAAAGCUUCUGGCAAUGCAUAUGCGGCCCGUACCAAAACCGACACAGGUGGGCAGGGAGAGAAUCCCGAGGUGAGCGAGAGAACUGUUGCCAAGGAACUCGGCAAAAUGACUCCGUAAGUUAGCGAGAAGGAGUGCUUAAGCAAUUAAGCCGCAGUGAAGAGGCCCAAGCGACUGUUUAACUAAAACACAGCUCUCUGCGAAGUCGCAAGACGAAGUAUAGGGGGUGACACCUGCCCGGUGCUGGAAGGUUAAGAGGAUCUGUUAAGAGCGAUCUGAAGCAGUGAUCCGAAGCCCCAGUGAACGGCGGCCGUAACUAUAACGGUCCUAAGGUAGCGAAAUUCCUUGUCAGGUAAGUUCUGACCCGCACGAAAGGUGUAACGAUUUGGGCGCUGUCUCGGCAGCAGACUCGGUGAAAUCUUAGUACCUGUGAAAAUGCAGGUUACCCGCAACUAGACGGAAAGACCCCAUGGAGCUUUACUGCAGCCUGAUAUUGAAUUCUGGUCAUACAUGUACAGGAUAGGUGGGAGACAAAGAGACGUGCACGCCAGUGUACGAGGAGUCGACGUUGGGAUACCACUCUUGUGUGACCGGGGUUCUAACCUGGUAUCGAGAACAGGUACGGGGAGAGUGUCAGGUGGGCAGUUUGACUGGGGCGGUCGCCUCCCAAAGAGUAACGGAGGCGCCCAAAGGUACGCUCAGAUUGGAUGGAAACCAAUCGUCGAGUGCAAUUGCAGAAGCGUGCUUGACUGUGAGACAGACAAGUCGAACAGGGACGAAAGUCGGGAAUAGUGAUCCGGCGGUGCCGAAUGGAAGGGCCGUCGCUCAACGGAUAAAAGCUACCCUGGGGAUAACAGGCUGAUCUCGCCCAAGAGUUCACAU